AGCGAACGUUUGCGGCGGGCCUAACACAUGCAAGUCGAACGCACUAGCAAUAGUGAGUGGCGCACGGGUGCGUAACACGUGGGUAAUCAACCCUUCAGCUUGGGAUAACGACUUGAAAGGGUCGCUAAUACCGGAUACGGCGCGGGAGGCUUCGGCUUCUCACGAGAAAGCCUCGCAAGGGGCACUGAAGGACGAGCCUGCGGCCCAUCAGCUAGUUGGUGAGGUAAGAGCUCACCAAGGCGAAGACGGGUAGCUGGUCUGAGAGGAUGAUCAGCCACACUGGAACUGAGACACGGUCCAGACUCCUACGGGAGGCAGCAGUGGGGAAUAUUGCGCAAUGGGCGAAAGCCUGACGCAGCCACGCCGCGUGAGCGAUGAAGGCCUUCGGGUCGUAAAGACUCUGUGGGGAGGAGACGAAGAAAGACCCGUGAAGAGCGGGCCGUUGACGGUAUCUCCUUAGCAAGCACCGGCUAACUCCGUGCCAGCAGCCGCGGUAAU
RNAcentral lists this ribosomal RNA (498 nucleotides) under uncultured bacterium. RNAcentral's name for it is "bacterial SSU rRNA". It matches the Rfam family "Bacterial small subunit ribosomal RNA", at positions 29 to 524 of the family's 1533-position model. The record is from RNAcentral.